AAGAAUAUAGCAUCUCCCUUACACCGAGAAGUCAUCCGUGCAAAUCGGAUAACUC
RNAcentral lists this transfer RNA (55 nucleotides) under Melanotaenia maccullochi (Macculloch's rainbowfish). RNAcentral describes it as "tRNA-Val". Lineage: Eukaryota; Metazoa; Chordata; Actinopteri; Atheriniformes; Melanotaeniidae. The record is from RNAcentral.